RNAcentral lists this unclassified non-coding RNA (300 nucleotides) under uncultured Helotiales. Its description in RNAcentral is "sequence contains 5.8S rRNA gene, ITS2". The stretch from base 1 to 93 matches the Rfam family "5.8S ribosomal RNA", at positions 58 to 154 of the family's 154-position model. Lineage: Eukaryota; Fungi; Ascomycota; Leotiomycetes; Helotiales. The record is from RNAcentral.
GUGAGAUGUGUAUAAGAGACAGGUGAGUCAUCGAAUCUUUGAACGCACAUUGCGCCCCUUGGUAUUCCGAGGGGCAUGCCUGUUCGAGCGUCAUUAUAACCCUUCAAGCUCAGCUUGGUGUUGGGGCCUGCCGCACAGGCAGCCCUUAAAAUCAGUGGCGGUGCUAUCUGGCUCUAAGCGUAGUAAUUCUCCUCGCUAUAGAGUCCCGGUGGAUGCUUGCCAUUAACCCCCAAUUUUCUAUGGUUGACCUCGGAUCAGGUAGGGAUACCCGCUGAACUUAAGCAUAUCAAUAAGCGGAGG